This 64-nucleotide transfer RNA is filed under the name Schyzocotyle acheilognathi. RNAcentral describes it as "tRNA-Asp". Lineage: Eukaryota; Metazoa; Platyhelminthes; Cestoda; Bothriocephalidea; Bothriocephalidae. The record is from RNAcentral.
GCAAUUUUAGUUUAAGUAAAAUAGUGUCUUGUCUUGUCACAGAUGGCCUUUGGCUGAGUUGCUC